UGGGGAAUUUUGGACAAUGGGCGAAAGCCUGAUCCAGCAAUGCCGCGUGUGUGAAGAAGGCCUUCGGGUUGUAAAGCACUUUUGUCCGGAAAGAAAUCCUUGGCUCUAAUACAGUCGGGGGAUGACGGUACCGGAAGAAUAAGCACCGGCUAACUACGUGCCAGCAGCCGCGGUAAUACGUAGGGUGCAAGCGUUAAUCGGAAUUACUGGGCGUAAAGCGUGCGCAGGCGGUUUGCUAAGACCGAUGUGAAAUCCCCGGGCUCAACCUGGGAACUGCAUUGGUGACUGGCAGGCUAGAGUAUGGCAGAGGGGGGUAGAAUUCCACGUGUAGCAGUGAAAUGCGUAGAGAUGUGGAGGAAUACCGAUGGCGAAGGCAGCCCCCUGGGCCAAUACUGACGCUCAUGCACGAAGGCGUGGGGAGCAAACAGGAUUAGAUACCCUGGUAGUCCACGCCCUAAAACGAUGUCAACUAGUUGUUGGGGGAUUCAUUUCCUUAGUAACGUAGCUAACGCGUGAAGUUGACCGCCUGGGGAGUACGGUCGCAAGAUUAAAACUUAAAUGAAUUG
RNAcentral lists this ribosomal RNA (566 nucleotides) under uncultured bacterium. RNAcentral describes it as "partial 16S ribosomal RNA". It matches the Rfam family "Bacterial small subunit ribosomal RNA", at positions 355 to 912 of the family's 1533-position model. The record is from RNAcentral.